RNAcentral lists this ribosomal RNA (329 nucleotides) under uncultured eukaryote. Its description in RNAcentral is "partial 18S ribosomal RNA". It matches the Rfam family "Eukaryotic small subunit ribosomal RNA", at positions 1470 to 1796 of the family's 1831-position model. The record is from RNAcentral.
CCCUUAGAUGUUCUGGGCCGCACGCGCGCUACACUGAUGCAUUCAACGAGUCUAAAACCUGGUCUGAGAGGGCUGGGUAAUCUUUUGAAAGCGCAUCGUGAUUGGGAUAGAUGAUUGCAAUUCUUCAUCUUCAACGAGGAAUGCCUAGUAAACGCAAGUCAUCAGCUUGCAUUGAUUACGUCCCUGCCCUUUGUACACACCGCCCGUCGCUCCUACCGAUUGAACGAUCCGAUGAAAACUGUGGAUUGAGAGUCUGAGUGGGUUCGCCUACCUCAACUUUCGAGAAGCGGUUUAAAUCUUAUCGUUUAGAGGAAGGAGAAGUCGUAACA